UGGGGAAUAUUGCACAAUGGGCGAAAGCCUGAUGCAGCGACGCCGCGUGAGGGAUGACGGCCUUCGGGUUGUAAACCUCUUUCAGUAGGGACGAAGCGCAAGUGACGGUACCUGCAGAAGAAGCACCGGCUAACUACGUGCCAGCAGCCGCGGUAAUACGAGGGGUGCGAGCGUUUUCCGGAAUUACUGGGCGUAAAGAGCUCGUAGGCGGUUUGUCACGUCGUCUGUGAAAUCCUAGGGCUUAACACUGGACGUGCAGGCGAUACGGGCUGACUUGAGUACUACAGGGGAGAGUGGAAUUUCUGGUGUAGCGGUGGAAUGCACAGAUAUCAGGAAGAACACCGAUGGCGAAGACAGGUCUCUGGGUAGUAACUGACGCUGAGGAGCGAAAGCAUGGGUAGCGAACAGG
This 409-nucleotide ribosomal RNA is filed under the name bacterium. Its description in RNAcentral is "partial 16S ribosomal RNA". It matches the Rfam family "Bacterial small subunit ribosomal RNA", at positions 355 to 776 of the family's 1533-position model. The record is from RNAcentral.